UAUACUAAAUUGGACUAUUUCACGGAGCUGUUGAAGUUCUUCUCAUUACUUAAGCACUGAUUGCAGAUUGUGCAGAAGAUUUGCUGAAUGGAGGAACGUGAGAUGCAACUGCCGCCUUGCGAGGAGCCGGUGCACUCGAAAUGUCUUAGCCAGGACUUGAUGACAUUCGUGGGUGGCACCUGAUAAAUGCUAAAGUGUUUCUUGAACAUUCUUUGGGCACUGCUAAUGGAAUCGUUAUUUCUAUAAUAGGCGCGUAUUAUAAACGCUCGAUGCACACCCGUCCACUGAUCCAUUGCGACUGAAUGCAGAAUAGAAUCCCAAAAAUCCCAAUAUAUAAAAAAAAUACAUUGAAAUGACAGGCACAGGGGUAUUUCCGGUGCAUGAGUGACAUAAAAAAGUCGUGAAAUAUGAAUUAUACAAAAAUUUAAUUGGUCAUCUGCAGCGUCAUCUGCGUUUUCUAAAUAUAACAUAAAUAGAUUCGCGGCGAACGUGGCGUAUGAGCAAUGCGAUAUAUUCCCAUCAAUCAGUUGAAGAAAGUCAUCAUCAUUACGCUUCAUUCACCACAAGCAACACUAAUACAGCCAUCAUCAAAAUGGGCGUGGCGUGUCGAGGUGUGGGCAACGAAAUGGGCAGCGAAUGGGGGCGAUGAGUGGAAAUGUUUGCGCGGCACUAAAUCUCCAACUUGAACUCAUUUAAAGUUUUCCAAGAAGCUAAAUCCGCAUUGGCAUUUCGCCAUCAUGUUAGUAGUUGGCUAUCGUCAAAGUCCUUAAACGCUUUUCCUGGUAUCAUUCCGUAUACACUCUACUAAGGCUUCAACAACUGAUUGAUUGAUGGCACUGUCCUACUGAAAUUGAGUAGCAAUAUAAAUUAUUGGGUCUACAGGCUGGCCUUCAAUGAAGAUUUAAAGUCCUCAACUUUCUUUAUCGAAUUUC
Long non-coding RNA from Drosophila sulfurigaster albostrigata, 932 nucleotides. RefSeq lists it as uncharacterized. The record is from RefSeq and is a predicted model, not a curated record. Lineage: Eukaryota; Metazoa; Arthropoda; Insecta; Diptera; Drosophilidae. The transcript has 3 exons.